GACGAACGCUGGCGGCGUGCUUAACACAUGCAAGUCGAGCGGUAAGGCCCUUUCGGGGGUACACGAGCGGCGAACGGGUGAGUAACACGUGGGUGACCUGCCCUCAGCUCUGGGAUAAGCCUGGGAAACCGGGUCUAAUACCGGAUAUGACUCCAUGACGCAUGUUGUGGGGUGGAAAGCCUUGUGCGGCUGAGGAUGGGCCCGCGGCCUAUCAGCUUGUUGGUGGGGUGAUGGCCUACCAAGGCGACGACGGGUAGCCGGCCUGAGAGGGCGACCGGCCACACUGGGACUGAGACACGGCCCAGACUCCUACGGGAGGCAGCAGUGGGGAAUCUUGCGCAAUGGGCGCAAGCCUGAUCCAGCCAUGCCGCGUGUGUGAAGAAGGCCUGGUGUAAG
Molecule: ribosomal RNA, 396 nt
Filed under: uncultured bacterium
Lineage: Bacteria
Description: bacterial SSU rRNA
Rfam family: Bacterial small subunit ribosomal RNA
Source: RNAcentral